UCCGUAGGUGAACCUGCGGAAGGAUCAUUAUUGAAUGAACUUGGCAUGAUUGUAGCUGGUCCUCUCGGGGGCAUGUGCACAUCUGUCAUCUUUAUCUCUCCACCUGUGCACACUUUGUAGGUCUGGAAUAACUUUCCGAGGAAACUCGGUCGUAGGGACUGCUGUAAAGGCUUUCCUUGCAUUUUCCAGGUCUAUGUUUUUCAUAUACACCAUAAAAAUGUAACAGAAUGUUUUUAUUGGGCCUUGUUGCCUAUAAACUAUAUACAACUUUCAGCAACGGAUCUCUUGGCUCUCGCAUCGAUGAAGAACGCAGCGAAAUGCGAUAAGUAAUGUGAAUUGCAGAAUUCAGUGAAUCAUCGAAUCUUUGAACGCACCUUGCGCUCCUUGGUAUUCCGAGGAGCAUGCCUGUUUGAGUGUCAUUAAAUUCUCAACCUUAUUAGCUUUUGUUAAUAAUGGCUUGGAUGUGGGGGUUUCUUUGCUGGCUUCUUAACGAGAUCAGCUCCCCUUAAAUGUAUUAGCUGGUUGCCUUGUGCAGACUGUCUAUUGGUGUGAUAAUUAUCUACGCCGUGGAUUUUCUGUCAGUGUAUAGCACCGCUUCUAAUCGUCUGUUAACUCGGACAAUAUAUGACAAUUUGACCUCAAAUCAGGUAGGACUACCCGCUGAACUUAAG
RNAcentral lists this ribosomal RNA (671 nucleotides) under Pholiota sp. 2Di178-1. RNAcentral describes it as "eukaryotic LSU rRNA". The stretch from base 266 to 419 matches the Rfam family "5.8S ribosomal RNA". Lineage: Eukaryota; Fungi; Basidiomycota; Agaricomycetes; Agaricales; Strophariaceae. The record is from RNAcentral.